CCGGCAGCGCCCGGGCCUGCGGGGGCUGGGUCCGCUCGCACGGCCCCGGCGGUGCCGAGGGGAACGGGCAGCCGCCCCUCGCCAGCCGCCCCUCGCCAGCCGCAGCGCUCCGCGGGUGGAGAGAACGAGGGGCAGUGUAAUUUAAGGGAAAGAUGCUGCUGUGUCAGGAAUUAAGGGGAAAACAUGAAUAAGGAAACAAGCUUGCAGUGAAAAGCACGAUGUUACUACAGCAAUACUCUGCUUCGAAACACUGCUUUCAGCUUUAGUUGCUUCGUCUCUCAGUGGGUAUGGACACUUCGAAGAAAAGCUUCCACACCAGUGUUACCUGGGGUUUGAGUUUGGAAUCACAUAUUCACCUACUUAUGGACAUUUCCUGUUGCUUUUGGAAAGUGAUUUGAUUUUGUUUGAUUAAAUGAAGCAGAGAAAGCUCUGGGGAAAAUGUUGAGACCCUGCUAAUCAUAGGCACAGUAUGUAAUGGAGGAUGCUUUGGAUAUUCACUAACAGAAGAUCAAAGUAUGUGCCAUUUGCAUUUCCUGUUGAUGUAUGUAAAAAUGAGCUACAAGGGAUGUCACUUCUAACACACACUUUUUGAGGAUCUGAACUCAGUAUUGUAUCUGAUGUUUGAGAGACUGGGAAUUAAACCGAAACAAGCACAGUGUGAUUUUGAAACGGCAUGCUUUCCUCCUAGCCUGGUAUCCAAAUUUUCCCCACCUUCCUGACUCUGUGUCUCCCUCCCAUGUCCUGGGACUGAGCCGGAAAGCACGUGGGCCCAGCAGGAUGGGUGGCACAGGCAUCGGGGCUGCUGGUGACGUGGGAAGGAGGCACUCAUUUCUGUGCUCAUUUUCUCCCUAUGACUGCAUGAGGCGUGAUGAGAUUGAAGGGGAAGCAGCCCAACCCUGGCCUCACAUUCCUGAGGAGUGUCUUCUUUCCAAGGCAUGAGCUGUCCCUAAGUGGUGGGUAAUUUACCUUAUGGACAAAUUUCAUUCUCUGCUUCUCCGCCUCUAACUUUAGACAGGAAGAGCAAUCCUGUCAGUGUUUGGUACUGAUGACAAAGCACCUGGCAGAGAUUCCCAGGCAGAAGCUGUUACUGAUGUAUUCCACCAGCCGUAAGAACUCCUGUUAUUAUUGUCAUCAUCUCUGUUUGCUAAUUUAAUUAAAAUAUCUGCUUCAGAACCUGAAAUGAGAUUAGGUUCCUAUUACACCAAAUGUUGUACAAAAUUAUGAUGAAUGUUCGUUUCCAGCUUGAACAAGCUUAUAGGCUGUUAUAUUGCAGAAUGGCCUGUAAAACCUAUUCGUUUAAAAACAUAUAUUGAUUUAUUAGGCUGGUACUUGCUCUCAGCCAGCAAUAGGUAAUGUGAUAGCAUACAUUUUCAAUAAACAGAGAAAAAUUCU
Molecule: long non-coding RNA, 1392 nt
Organism: Apus apus (common swift)
Lineage: Eukaryota; Metazoa; Chordata; Aves; Apodiformes; Apodidae
Exons: 2
Source: RefSeq, a predicted model, not a curated record